RNAcentral lists this ribosomal RNA (736 nucleotides) under uncultured archaeon. RNAcentral describes it as "bacterial SSU rRNA". It matches the Rfam family "Archaeal small subunit ribosomal RNA", at positions 142 to 879 of the family's 1478-position model. The record is from RNAcentral.
GGGGAUAAUUCUGAAUAGAUCACCUAUGCUGGAAUGCUUUGUGAUUAAAAGAUCCGUCGCCCAAGGAUGGGUCUGCGGCCUAUCAGGUUGUAGUGGGUCUAGAGUACCUACUAGUCAACGACGGGUACGGGUUGUGAGAGCAAGAGCCCGGAGAUGGAUUCUGAGACAUUAAUCCAGGCCCUACGGGGCGCAGCAGGCGCGAAACCUUUACACUGCUGGAAACCGCGAUAAGGGGACACCGAGUGCCAGCAUACAAUGCUGGCUGUCCACAUGUGUAAAUAGCAUGUGAUAGCAAGGGCCGGGCAAGACCGGUGCCAGCCGCCGCGGUAACACCGGCGGCCCGAGUGGUAAUCACUAUUAUUGGGUCUAAAGGGUCCGUAGCCGGUUUAAUCAUUCUUCCGGGAAAUCUGGCACCUCAACUGUUAAGCUACCGGGGGAUACUGUUAGACUUGGGACCGGGAGAGGUAAGAGGUACUACAGGGGUAGGAGUGAAAUCUUGUAAUCGCUGUGGGACCUCCUGUGGCGAACGCGUCUUACCAGAACGGGUCCGACGGUGAGGGACGAAAGCUGGGGGCACGAACCGGAUUAUGUACCCGGAUACUCCCAGCCGUAAACGAUGCUCGCUAGGUGUCUGGAAUGGUGCGACCGUUUCAGGUGCCGCAGGGAAGCCGUGAACCGAGCCACCUGGGAAGUACGGCCGCAAGGCUGAAACUUAAAGGAAUUGGCGGGGGAGCAC